Fukomys damarensis (Damara mole-rat) is the source of this 112-nucleotide ribosomal RNA. Lineage: Eukaryota; Metazoa; Chordata; Mammalia; Rodentia; Bathyergidae. The record is from Ensembl.
GUCUAUGGCCAUACCAUCCUGAACGCGCCUGAUCUCAUCUGAUCUUGGAAACUAAGCAGGGUCAGGCCUGGUUAGUACUUGGAUGGGAGAAUGCAUUAAGAAUGCUUAAACA